GCUGCCCUGGUUGCCGGCUUCACCUCCGCCGCGUCUCCUCCCCUCUCCGCCUCUCCGCUCUCUCCUUGCUCCGUUGCUCUCGCCACCACAACCACCAUGGGUCCAUGGCUACAGCCAAACCUAGGUCGUCGUCACUCUUGCCUGGCCCCGCCUCCGGCAUCGCCGCUCCUCCAUCCUGCUCCCGGCAACUACCAAUAGCCGCGCAGACAGCAGCGAACCAACCCUAGGGUAGUCACUUCAAGGACCGGAGGAAGUUGGAUGUGGGAACAACUCCACUCAUGGCGUUGGAGCUGGCAUCUAGGACUUCAAGCGAAACCAGUUCCCCAAGAUCUGCGAGGAUACUCUCUUGCAACCAGUUAUAACUGAGGUUGAGAUGCUGUAGCUUGGGCAGCUUCAGCCCUACCAAGCCUAUGAUAGUUUGUCUGAAAAUAUUAGUCAUUGCAAAAGCAAGGAGCAAUCUUGGUUAUUCAGGAUGGACACUGUGCACAUACCAUCGAUAUUUAGAGAACUGGGAUAGAUACUGGACAGAUCCAGGAACUGAAGCUCCGGGAAUGAGGAGAAGACCGUCGUGUUGAAACGCCAAAACGAGUCACCAUGUGCAUUUAGCACUUCCAGAGAAUCAUACAGGUUUGAGAAGUAGAGAUGUGAUACUCGCCCAGUGAUGUUGCUGCAUUUGACGCGCUCCCACAAGCAGCAGUCGUCGUCACCGUCGCCGCGCCCCCAUGAUGGCGGCACCGUGCCGUUUGAGCGCGUCAGAGAGGAGCCAAUGUCCAUCAGCGCCGU
This is a non-coding RNA of Oryza sativa Japonica Group (Japanese rice), 783 nucleotides long. The record is from RefSeq and is a predicted model, not a curated record. NCBI's taxonomy places the organism in Eukaryota, Viridiplantae, Streptophyta, Magnoliopsida, Poales, Poaceae.